GACGAACGCUGGCGGCGUGCUUAACACAUGCAAGUCGAACGGAAAGGCCCCUUUGGGGGUCCUCGAGUGGCGAACGGGUGAGUAACACGUGAGUAACCUGCCCUUGAUUUCGGGAUAACUUCAGGAAACUGGGGCUAAUACCGGAUAGGAAUCCUUGCUGCAUGGUGGGGGUUGGAAAGCUUCUGCGGUUUUGGGUGGACUGGCGGCGUAUCAGCUUGUUGGUGGGGUAGUGGCUUACCAAGGCUUUGACGGGUAGCCGGCCUGAGAGGGCGACCGGCCACACUGGGACUGAGGUACGGCCCAGACUCCUACGGGAGGCAGCAGUGGGGAAUCUUGCACAAUGGGCGGAAGCCUGAUGCAGCAACGCCGCGUGCGGGAUGACGGCCUUCGGGUUGAAAACCGCUUUCAGCAGGAGCGAAGCUUGUGGUGACGGUACCUGCAGAAGAAGCACCGGCUAACUACGUG
This 465-nucleotide ribosomal RNA is filed under the name uncultured bacterium. RNAcentral describes it as "partial 16S ribosomal RNA". It matches the Rfam family "Bacterial small subunit ribosomal RNA", at positions 28 to 507 of the family's 1533-position model. The record is from RNAcentral.